This is a non-coding RNA of Cervus elaphus (red deer), 831 nucleotides long. Lineage: Eukaryota; Metazoa; Chordata; Mammalia; Artiodactyla; Cervidae. The record is from the annotation of a RefSeq genome assembly.
UUAGUGAAGUAUCUGACAGUGAAAAUGUCUCAGUAAGCAGAGGAGGCAUCAUGAAGAGGCUAGCAGGCGCUGUGCUGGGGCUUUUAUUUGCCCAGAUUUGCUCUGUGCGAGGGGUGGAUGUGGAGCAGAGUCCCGCAGCCCUGAGUCUCCAGGAGGGAGCCAGCCACGUGCUGAGGUGUAAUUUUUCUGCCUCUGUGAGCAAUGUACACUGGUAUCUUCAGAACCCUGGGGGCCGCAUCGUCCACCUGUUUUACAUUCCUUCAGGAACAAAGCAGAAAGGAAGAUUAAACGCCACAACAAUCCCUGCAGAACGCCGCAGCUCACUGCACAUUUCCUCUUCGCGGAUCACAGACUCGGGCACUUACUUCUGCGCUGCGCAGCACGGUGCUCCCCAGGCACCUGCGGCCUCUACACGAACCCUCCGGGGCGCAGCCCCUCCUCCAGCCUCAGUCACACCGUGGGCCCCACAGGGCAUUCGCAGAGCUGAUUGUCUCUUACCUACACUGGUACAGUUUAAUCACAGACACUUUCCGCCUACAGAUUGUGAACUUCGGUCUUUGUCUUCCUUUCUCAACCUGUAUCUCCUUCUGCACUAGAGACUUCUAACUUGGAACUAGCAGAAUAGCUGAUAAGGGGACAAAAAUAAAAUAAAUAUUCAACCACAGUAUGCUGAUCUCAAAAGUGGUAAAAAGUGAGAACAAUUCAGAGAAAAAAAUAACUCCAAUAAAGUUGUUAUCCUGAUUAGUUUGAUGUCUCAAGAAUGUUCAGAUCUGCCUCACCAGAAUGUGUCCCCAAAGACACUUGCAUCAUCCCAUCCUACGAGUGCAGCAA